This 532-nucleotide ribosomal RNA is filed under the name Morchella purpurascens. Its description in RNAcentral is "partial 28S ribosomal RNA". It matches the Rfam family "Eukaryotic large subunit ribosomal RNA", at positions 86 to 629 of the family's 3401-position model. The record is from RNAcentral. Lineage: Eukaryota; Fungi; Ascomycota; Pezizomycetes; Pezizales; Morchellaceae.
ACGGCGAGUGAAGCGGCAAAAGCUCAAAUUUUAAAGCUGACAUCUUCGGUGUCCGCGUUGUAAUUUUGUGAGGCAUCUCCGGGUAGGGCGCCGGCCUAAGUUCCUUGGAACAGGACGUCACAGAGGGUGAGAAUCCCGUGCUUGGCUGGCUGUCCCCGUCCAUGUGAGGUGUCUUCGACGAGUCGAGUUGUUUGGGAAUGCAGCUCAAAAUGGGUGGUAAAUUUCAUCUAAAGCUAAAUAUUGGUGGGAGACCGAUAGCGCACAAGUAGAGUGAUCGAAAGAUGAAAAGCACUUUGAAAAUAGAGUUAAAAAGUACGUGAAAUUGUUGAAAGGGAAGCGCUUGAGACCAGACUUCGGUAAGGGGUGAUCAGCCGUCCUUUUGGGCGGUGCACUUGCCCCCCUCCGGGCCAGCAUCGGUUGAGGCGGCGGGAUAAAGGUCCCGGGAAUGUGGCUCCUUCACGGGAGUGUUAUAGCCCGGGUGAAUGCCGCCAGCUUCGACCGAGGACCGCACCCGCAAGGGUUAGGAUGCUUG